RNAcentral lists this ribosomal RNA (840 nucleotides) under Melanconiella sp. RNAcentral describes it as "partial large subunit ribosomal RNA". It matches the Rfam family "Eukaryotic large subunit ribosomal RNA", at positions 68 to 930 of the family's 3401-position model. The record is from RNAcentral. Lineage: Eukaryota; Fungi; Ascomycota; Sordariomycetes; Diaporthales; Melanconiellaceae.
ACAGGGAUUGCCUUAGUAACGGCGAGUGAAGCGGCAACAGCUCAAAUUUGAAAUCUGGCCCCUAGGGUCCGAGUUGUAAUUUGUAGAGGAUGUUUUUGGCACGGUGCCUUCCGAGUUCCCUGGAACGGGACGCCACAGAGGGUGAGAGCCCCGUAUGGUUGGACACUAAGCCUCUGUAAAGCUCCUUCAACGAGUCGAGUAGUUUGGGAAUGCUGCUCUAAAUGGGAGGUAAAUCUCUUCUAAAGCUAAAUACUGGCCAGAGACCGAUAGCGCACAAGUAGAGUGAUCGAAAGAUGAAAAGCACCUUGAAAAGGGGGUUAAACAGUACGUGAAAUUGUUGAAAGGGAAGCACUUGUCACCAGACGUGCGCCGGGCGGUUCAUCAGAGGCUUUGCCCCUGUGUAUGCCGUCCGGUUCAGGCUAGCAUCGGUUUUCGCUGGGGGAGAAGAACAGUUGGAACGUGGCUCGCCUUCGGGGGAGUGUUAUAGCCUUCUGUACGAUGCCCUGGCGGGGACUGAGGUCCGCGCAUUUUGCAAGGAUGCUGGCGUAAUGGUUACCAGUGACCCGUCUUGAAACACGGACCAAGGAGUCGUCCAUUAAAGCGAGCGUCUGGGUGUGAAAACCCGUUACGCGUAAUGAAAGUGAAACUAGGUGAGAGCUUCGGCGCAUCAUCGACCGAUCCUGAUGUUCUCGGAUGGAUUUGAGUAAGAGUUUUAACGGACGGACCCGAAAGACAGUGAACUAUGCUUGUAUAGGGUGAAGCCAGAGGAAACUCUGGUGGAGGCUCGCAGCGGUUCUGACGUGCAAAUCGAUCGUCAAAUAUGAGCAUGGGGGCGAAAGA